UUUGUAUAUACACAUCUGCUGGCUAGUCUUUACUUUUCAUAUUGAAGAUUUUUUCUUUCUCUCUCUUUCCUCUCUCCCUCUCCUCUCUCUACCCACACACACCACCUCUCUCCCUCUCCUCUCUCUACCCACACCACCAGCCCACCGCCCCACCAGCCCAGGCCCUCAACCCACCGCCUUCCGACCACCGCCAGUCCACCGUCGGCGGCGCAACCCUUGCAUUUUCAGAGUAAAAUAUAUAUAACAAGCAUCUGCAAUGGGUUCUGGAUACUGGCUUAAAAAUGUAAUCAGUUUGAGAAAAGCUAAAGAUGACAGAUCGAAAAGAUUAAAGAGAACGUCUAUUGGAAGAAAGGGGGAUGACCAGAAAAAGUGGCGCCUCUACCAAAAAUCAUAGGAAACAGGGAAUGCCUUCUGAGGAUAACGCAGCCACAAGGAUCCAGUCACAUUGACCUUUUUGAUUAAUGUGAUUUUGGAUUCUAAUUCUGCUAUGUUUAAAUGGAUAUGUAUAUUAUGUUUAAGGGUUUGAAUGUAGUUUUAAUUUGAACUAGAAGUACUUUUAAUUUUAAGAUGUUUAAAUGUUUGAACGUAGUUUAUGAUGUUUAAGUGUUUGAAUGGACAAUGUUUAAGUGUUUGAACAUUGUUUAUGGUUGUUGUGUUGAAUUGUUGAUGAAUUGGAUGACUGUUUUGAUUGAUGAAUUUGGUUAUUUGAAAAUUGG
Molecule: long non-coding RNA, 716 nt
Organism: Lycium barbarum (goji berry)
Lineage: Eukaryota; Viridiplantae; Streptophyta; Magnoliopsida; Solanales; Solanaceae
Exons: 3
Source: RefSeq, a predicted model, not a curated record